GCCCUUGUGGCAAAAUGGUAAGCACUCAGCUGCUAACCAAAAGGUGGUGGUUUGAACCCACCCAGCAGCU
This 70-nucleotide transfer RNA is filed under the name Loxodonta africana (African savanna elephant). It matches the Rfam family "tRNA". From Rfam's summary of the family: Transfer RNA (tRNA) molecules are approximately 80 nucleotides in length. Their secondary structure includes four short double-helical elements and three loops (D, anti-codon, and T loops). The record is from Rfam by way of RNAcentral. Lineage: Eukaryota; Metazoa; Chordata; Mammalia; Proboscidea; Elephantidae.